UUGAAUUUUAAUGAAGAGUUUGGUUGUAGCUGGCCCAUUCAUUUGGGCAUGUGCACACCUUCCUCUUUCAUCCCACACACACCUGUGAACCUGUGAGACAGAGAUGGGGAAUUUACUUGCUGCUUUUUGGAAUACAAAGGCAAUAGGUUAUUGGACCCCCCCUCUGUCUACUCAAUUAAUAUAAACUCAAUUUAUUUUGAAACGAAUGUAAUGGAUGUAACACAUCUCAUAC
This 232-nucleotide unclassified non-coding RNA is filed under the name soil metagenome. RNAcentral's name for it is "partial internal transcribed spacer 1". The record is from RNAcentral.